AUGAACGCUGGCGGCGUGCCUCAUACAUGCCAGUCGAGCGCACGGACGAGAAGCUUGCUUCUCUGAUGUUAGCGGCGGACGGGUGAGUAACACGUGGAUAACCUACCUAUAAGACUGGGAUAACUUCGGGAAACCGGAGCUAAUACCGGAUGAUAUUUUGAACCGCAUGGUUCAAAAGUGAAAGACGGUCUUGCUGUCACUUAUAGAUGGAUCCGCGCUGCAUUAGCUAGUUGGUAAGGUAACGGCUUACCAAGGCAACGAUGCAUAGCCGACCUGAGAGGGUGAUCGGCCACACUGGAACUGAGACACGGUCCAGACUCCUACGGGAGGCAGCAGUAGGGAAUCUUCCGCAAUGGGCGAAAGCCUGACGGAGCAACGCCGCGUGAGUGAUGAAGGUCUUCGGAUCGUAAAACUCUGUUAUUAGGGAAGAACAUAUGUGUAAGUAACUGUGCACAUCUUGACGGUACCUAAUCAGAAAGCCACGGCUAACUACGUG
RNAcentral lists this ribosomal RNA (496 nucleotides) under uncultured bacterium. RNAcentral describes it as "partial 16S ribosomal RNA". It matches the Rfam family "Bacterial small subunit ribosomal RNA", at positions 29 to 507 of the family's 1533-position model. The record is from RNAcentral.